CGGGGGCCCAGAGUGGAGAGCGCGAGGGCCUGGCCCAGGCACGGCCGGCGCCUCAGCCCUCGAGGAGGGCGUCACCUCAGCUCCCCCCGGCGGCGGAGCCGGUGGGCUCAGGCGGGCGCGGCUGAGGGGAGCGGACCGCGUGGGGCGGGAUGACUGCGCCCAAGGCCUUUGCGGGCCUCAGCCGGCCCCAGAGGAAGGGGGACCCGUCGAGCGGUUCGGUGCGUGUGAAGCGCGACAUGGCGGGGAAGCGGACAAGGCCGGGUGGCCUGGCGUCUACAGGGAAGGGGGCGGGACUAGACGCGGCCUUGACAACUAGUAGAGCGCCUCGGGCUGUGCGGCUCGAGACUACAUUUCCCAGGGGGCCCCGCGCGGAGCGGGCGGAAAAGAGAGCGUUUCGGGUCCAGUGCGCAGGUGCGAAAGCCAUCUUUGGUUAUAUAAGGGAGGUUCAGGAGGCCAUUCGUUCUUUCGCGUCCGCGGCGCUGUGAGUGUGGUGGUUCCGCAGGUUGCAGUCAGGCUUCGUACGCUAUUGUCCUUCCCGUUAGAGCAGCCAGCGGGUACAGAAUGGAUUUUGGAGGAGGGAGUCACCACUGGACCUCCAAGGAAGCCACGUGCAGACAUCUACAACCUUCGAUCUCUUGACGAGUUUAUUGUUGGCUAAAACCAACCAGGAUGAAUGCGGGCGUUGGAAGUAGAAUAUAUACAUAUACAUAUAAAAUUGGUUGGGAGCCACGUGUACCAGUGUGUUGAUCUUGGCUUGAUUCAGUCUGCCUAGUAACAGAAACUGGCGAUGGUAUAUGAGAGGAGCCCUCUGGAAAGAAAAGGACAGACCCUGUGCUUUCAUGAAAGUGAAGAUCUGGCUGAACCAGUUCCACAAGGUUACUGUAUACAUAGCCUGAGUUUAAAAGGCUGUGCCCAUUUGAAGAAUGUCAUUGUUAGACUUUGGUGAAAUUUCUAACUGCCUACCUGGAUAAAGAAAAUAAAAUCUUUUAAAUCAAAA
This 997-nucleotide antisense RNA is filed under the name Pongo abelii (Sumatran orangutan). The stretch from base 248 to 445 matches the Rfam family "ZNFX1 antisense RNA 1 conserved region 1". Lineage: Eukaryota; Metazoa; Chordata; Mammalia; Primates; Hominidae. The record is from RNAcentral.